GCGUAACGCGUGGGAAUCUGCCCCGUGGUGCGGAACAACCCAGGGAAACUUGGGUUAAUACCGCAUGCGCCCGACGGUUUUGGAGAUCGUCGGGGAAAGAUUUAUCGCCAUGGGAUGGGCCCGCGUCGGAUUAGCUUGUUGGUGGGGUAACGGCCCACCAAGGCGACGAUCCGUAGCUGGUCUGAGAGGACGAUCAGCCACACUGGGACUGAGACACGGCCCAGACUCCUACGGGAGGCAGCAGUGGGGAAUCUUGGACAAUGGGGGCAACCCUGAUCCAGCGAUGCCGCGUGAGCGAAGAAGGCCUUAGGGUUGUAA
This 318-nucleotide ribosomal RNA is filed under the name uncultured Hyphomicrobiales bacterium. RNAcentral describes it as "bacterial SSU rRNA". It matches the Rfam family "Bacterial small subunit ribosomal RNA", at positions 108 to 428 of the family's 1533-position model. The record is from RNAcentral. Lineage: Bacteria; Pseudomonadati; Pseudomonadota; Alphaproteobacteria; Hyphomicrobiales.